UACGUAGGGGGCGAGCGUUAUCCGGAUUUACUGGGUGUAAAGGGAGCGUAGACGGCGCAGCAAGUCUGAUGUGAAAGGCGGGGGCUUAACCCCCGGACUGCAUUGGAAACUGUUGAGCUUGAGUGCCGGAGGGGUAAGCGGAAUUCCUAGUGUAGCGGUGAAAUGCGUAGAUAUUAGGAGGAACACCAGUGGCGAAGGCGGCUUACUGGACGGUAACUGACGUUGAGGCUCGAAAGCGUGGGGAGCAAACAGG
This 253-nucleotide ribosomal RNA is filed under the name Blautia faecis. RNAcentral's name for it is "partial 16S ribosomal RNA". It matches the Rfam family "Bacterial small subunit ribosomal RNA", at positions 524 to 776 of the family's 1533-position model. The record is from RNAcentral. Lineage: Bacteria; Bacillati; Bacillota; Clostridia; Lachnospirales; Lachnospiraceae.